CAAAGACCCAAUCUGCAGAGAGCGCGAGAGAGAGAGAGAGAAAGAGAGAAACAGACUCCUCUCUGAGCGCCUCACUGGCUUCAGAUCAGCUGAUAAGGUAAGAGCUCUGCUGCUCUCUCAUCAUUAAAUCGUUCAUUAUAUUAUUUUAAAUGCAUAAAUCUUCAACAUGUUGCAUUUUGUUUGAACUCUAAGCCAAAAGUCUUUUAUCUGUCUUUUCUCUUCUGCGUUAUAUUAAUUCACUAAAGGGGCAGAUAUGUCACAGCUGUGUGGUGCACAUGUGGGGUUAAAUUCCUAGCUCCUUCACAUCAUUUUAUUUUUGUACAAUAUCUACAUCGUUCAGCUCAAAAGUAUACAGAGGAAAUAAGACGUUCAUCUGACGCUACUUCAUACUAUGAACUAAAUGAAUAACAUGACAAAUGAUCACCUGAUUAUCCUGUUUCAUAUCGUAUGUCUCCACAGCUUGUGUAAUAGUGUAACCAAUGUCAAUCUGCUGGCUUCAGAUGUUUGUGUGUCAUUGUAGUUAAAACGGAGAACUUUAAGACUCACGGUGACACAUUUGGAGACGAGUGCUGCAAAAAUGACUCAGAACAAUCUCUAUAAUAUAAUGAAGUAAAAGGAAUCGGGUUUGAGUAUCAACCACCCCGCGACUCCCAAAUGGCAGUUGGCGCGCAAAAUGGGAACAAGUAGGACACGUUUGGGAUUAGUUGCACCUUUGGGAGUAAAACAGCAGCGUGGUGACGAUAUCAAAUCUGUGGUCAAUAAUCCCUCGUUGUUGUUGUACACAGUAGCCACUAAUCUAAAAAGCCAAUACAAUUAAUUUAAUUCUGGUAAGUAAAGACAUGUCAAGUUUAAUGUUGUCCGUUGAAAUGCCCACAGUUAAAUGUUAAUAUUGAGUGUGGAAUUUAAAUUUUGGACCUUUAUGUUCUAUUGAAAACCCAAAUUGUCUUCCAAACCAGAGCAAUGUUCAAGCCUGCUGCUCGUCAUUUGUUGUCCAUCUAUUUCUCCAUGGAAACCUCAACUCGAGUGUUUGCUUGGUGCAGAAAUGCUCGUCCAGUGGAGCCGUAGAAGUACAGAAUGCAUCAUUUCCAAAGGCAGGUCUCCAGUGCUGCCCAGUGGAGUGGACAGGGGGACAAUGGACCCAUUAUCAGUGCGUUGUUCUGUCACCAGUCUCUGUCCAGCACAAUCCCAGCAGCAACCCCCCUUCCACUUGCCUCCAUGUCUACAUAGUACCGUGAAAGCAUGUGUAUGUUUACACCAUGCAGAUCCUACCGUGUGUUUUACGCUACACACACACACACACACACACACACACACACACACACACACACACACACACACACACACACACACACACACACACACACACACACACCAUCAAUGUCAUCUGGAAAAAAACAAUGCAUUUCUCAACAAUGCAUUUUGGAGGUAUUUAUUUAGGGUUUUAAAAGGAGAGCACACCCACUCUGCUGCCCGGUUAGCCACAAGCUUUGGAGCGUUUACUGGUUGUCUCCCACAUCACUAUUGCUGUUACUAGUGAUAGUGACUAUCUUCUAAACCGGAUCCAUUUGGUGUCGCCUCGUGCGAGGAAACGUUAGCAACAGCUAGCAAUGGCUAAACACGUUCUCUCUUCCUAAUGAUGUUCUGUGAUCGUCUUGACGGUAUUCAAAAUAUAUACAUUUCAAUCUAAAGUUUUUUUUCUUUUUUGCAUGUUUGAAUGUAAAAGUAAGAAGCUUCGAAUGCUAACCUCCUAGAAUAAUGUUUUAAUUGGAAUCCAGCUGGACCGGUGUUUGAGAUGCUUCGGCACCAGGGCCGAUUGCGGUGCCCCUUUGAAUGAACACCACCUGCUUUAUGCAGAGAUCUGCUUCUGAGUCACAUGACCUGGCGUCACCUAUCGGAUGACUCAACUUGUCAAAACUAAAAGAGGUUUGCAUCUCCCCUUUAACUUUCAAACCCAACUGUCGUGACCUUACUUUUCAGGAUCCAAUCAAGUUGCACCAGAUAGAAGUUUGAUUAUAUAAUUACAACAAUUAAACGAUUAAAUAUGUUGAUAAUACAAUUAGUAUUAUCAACAUAUUUAAUCAGGCUUGAUCACUGAGUUCAUUAAUGUUUGAGAUAUCGACGCAUAUUGUUUUUAAAGGAUUUAUUAGUUUACUAGUUAAAAAGCGUUAGAUAAAUAGAUAAAGCACUUAUCAAUACAAAGUGUUUCAAAUAACUCAAAUUAAAAAUAUGAAACGUUGAGUGAACAAAAAAAACAAACAGGACAUGGAAUAAGACUUUCUGAUAUAAACUUGUUUUUCGAAAAGAGCUAAGAACUUGUCUGGCCUUGUUUCCUCUGGCAGAGGACUCGGGGAGAGACAGAAGACCACUGCCUGUGAGAAGAUCUCACAUUACCUUGGAUCCAUAAAGAAAAAGGUCUAAAACAAGCUAAGAACUUGUCUGGCCUUGUUUCCUCUGGCAGAGGACUCGGGGAGAGACAGAAGACCACUGCCUGUGAGAAGAUCUCACAUUACCUUGGAUCCAUAAAGAAAAAGGUCUAAAACAAAUAAAGGAUAUCUCAUAAAAUCCACAGUGAAACAAGCAGGAGGACCAUGUGAAGAAGGUAUUAUCGUGCAACCCUUUCCCAGAUCAGGACCCGUAUGGGACCCAUCGUCCCUCCAUGAAGCCACAAGAGCUCCAAACCGCAACAGAAAGGUCCAAUAAGAGGCCGGAGAAAAGGGGAUUGUUUUGAUUAAAAGACAAUUAUCUGUGCGCAUGGACUUCCCAGUGUUGUGCGGUGUCAGGCUCCAGCUGAGCUGCUCCGUCCCAGAAGGCCUCGGGAGACAAUGGCCACUGUGUCCACAGGGUGGGGGGGUUGUUUCAUGACUCGGUCACAGCACCAUGCAACUGUGUGAAUACUGUUAAUGCCACGUAUGGGCUUAGUAGUGGGACGGUUACCCCGAAGUUGAUGUUCAAUCACCUGAAAACGACUAAACAACAAUGGGGUGAAGGCGUAAAUCGGCCUUUAAAUUAGUCUCCAGGUGGAACUCAUCAAGUUCAAAUAAUUCGCUGGGCUUUAUCCUGGAGCCCAGCAAAUGUAGUUAUUAGUUAGUAUUAGUCGAGACCGGGACGUGAACAGUAAUGCAGCGCAGUUAUUGUAAUUAUGUGUUUUCAACCAUUCAGUUCGUCAUGUAACUUUUAUGAAGCAUUUCGGGGUAGAGAGCUGAAAUGCUAUAAAGGUGCCUGCAACUGGCCUAUAUUGUGAGAUAUCAGUAGGCGUACAUCAAAGAAUUAUUUUAGUGAUCAGAAAACAGACAUUUUGACAAAAUGCUAGCUGCGCGAGCUAACAACGUUAUGAUGUAUUAUAACAAUGUAAUAGUGAGUGCCGGCUCUCCUCUUUUUCCUGCUGAUGCCUCACGUUUUAUUGCCUGUUUCCUCUGAUUAGGAGCUUAUUGAAACAUGGUUAUAGAUUCUUCACGGCAUCCCGUCCCUCGGCAGCUUUUAGCUAGCAGAAUGGCUAGCAGCCAUUGGUCGACUAUCGUUUUUUACAUCAUGUUAGUUAUUUUUCUUGUCAAACUUAUUAAUGCUAUGUAAUGCGUUUUGGAUUUUUAAAUCAAGCUACAGUAGUAAUUGCAGUUUGAGGUUUUAAAAAUCAAAACAAAUUAACUUUCUGUGAGUUGAUUUUUUCCUUUGAGUGAAAUCGUUGGAAACCUUUUGCUGCCCAGAAGGUGGGAAGGCACUCGAUUUAUCUUGAACCGUUACGUCGCGCUCAAUGUGAUGGUUCUUCAGAUUCUCUCGACUCUUAAGUUUCUUUAGGAGUAACAGAUUAGACUCAAAGGCGUCCUCAAUGCUUCCCCUCAUAAUGGCGCCCGUCAUCAGCCUCUCUAAAACUCACUUCCUGUCUUUUGUUACAAAAACCUCGAAACAAAAAAGUGUCCAUAUGUCUGAAAUGACCAAAUAUGCUCAGUUCCAUCCAGCGUCCAGCGACUGUCCGUGUGGGAUAGAAAGGCCUCAGAGCUCAAAGCCUCUCCCUUAUCUGCUGGGGCGGGCGUAACAGUGUGGCCCUUUGUGGCCCCCCCGUGUAUUUAUGAAUGGCCGAGCCUUAGGGCGAAGCCUCAGAACAAUGCCGCUACACUGAAGGACUGGUUUUCCUACGGGGGGGUGGUGAUGAUGGUGAUGGUGAUGAUGAUGAUGAUGGAGGAGGAGGUGUUGGUGGCGGGUUGACUCCCCACCGUUGGGGCUUGGUACAGAGAGUGGCGAGAGGUCUGGCUGGCGAGGGGGCUUUGCGCGUGAGACUCAGAGGGAAGGCUGCUGGAGCUACUGGAGGUCGUAGGUCGCCCACGCUCACCUACACAGAGAGGAGGCCUGUGGCUCACCAUCUGCCCGCCGGGGCCGGGAAUGCCAGGUGAAAAAAGGCAUUCUGAUACGAGCGGCCAAACCAACAGAGAAUUAAAGGGAAAGCAAACAAAUAAAUGUAGACUCAGAGCCACAUGCACGGGCCAAUAAAUACCAAGAAAGGUAAUCUUCCAGGUGGUUUAUGACACCUGCUCCCUCGUUUCAAUAAGUUAACAACCACCUACUUUGUGGGCAUAGAAAAUAUAAAUACUUAACGCAUCGAGCACUUCAAAGCAUCUACUGUAAGAGGCAACGGUUUUAUUGCAUCUGAUGAGCUGAAGUGUGGAUCUUUUCCUCCUGCCGGCGCCCUGCGCGGUGCCUUCGGCAACAGACCGUGUGACUGAACGUUGGCACGUCUCCGUGGUUGUGUUUGAAGCGAGUGUGCGCUGUUCUCAGGGCGGUGUGUGUGGGAGGGGGAGCGGUCAUGUUUUAAGACCAUCUGCUCCUCUGAGUAUUUUAGUGUGUGUGUGUGGGGGGGGGGCCUUAGCUUGCGUUGGACCAACGCGCGUCACGGGCAAACAGCAGAACGCAAGCUGUGAGCGGGCCUGUUCCGGAGAAAAAAAUUCCUCCACUUUCACACAAUGGGCAGUGUUCUGCAUACAAGGUUCCCAUUCUCCCCCACCACACCCGCCCCGUGUCCAAGAGCCCGAGCAAAACUCCUGUACACGGGCCACGGACGACAUUCACAAUGAAAAUGUUCUUCUUGGCACAGGCGAUUGUUUGUGCGAGCCCUUUGGUUGGCGUGAGACAUCUCAAUAAUGGAAGAUGACUCAUAAAAGGUGUCGUGGCCUGAUUGAGCGGAGCCGAUUUUUCUCCCCGCAUCGCGUUGCUCUUUAGACAUUGGAAAAAGGCAGAAAAUGUUGACCACAUGGCUUCUUUCUCAUUGACGGAGACAAACGUGACAUAAGUGUGUUCGUCUGGACCCUCACUCGGCCGCACGCUUCAUGUGCACACAAUGCCUACGGUCCCAGAAGGACAAUAGAGCAGGCUGAGCUUCCACUCAGCGGAGGAAGGUCACAUAUCUGCACACCCCACGCUGCGUAGUGUGUUUGCUCGCCUCGCGCUGCGUGUGUGUGUGUGUCUGUGUGUGUGUGCGUGGGCGGUGUGGCACGCUGCGUAUUCGUUUGAUCGAGGCUCCCGAGCGUCGCGGCAGCGCUCUCCCCGUCAGCUCUUGUUGACGGCGGGAUUCCCUCGAGGUCAUCGGCCGCUCGGGCCAUGCCGUCAUCUGGCCGCAGGCCUGGAGGGCUUUGGGCCGCAGUGACUCACCCUAACAUGAGAGUGGCAAAGAAAAGUUGCCUUUGUCACUUUUGUCAUGUAAACUAGGUGGACAUCGGAGUGAAUCCACGCUUGUGCGUCCCUGCCCACAGAAAUUCCUCCGCAGGGGAAAUAUUAAUACGGCUUGAAAGAUCAAUGAUGCCCUGAAGCUUUCUCUAGAAUUCAAAUGGUCUUGCGUUGGAUGUGUGUGAUUGAGGCUCUUUAAGACGCUGAUGUCUGACAAACCCUAAUCAAAGUAGUGUAGAUCUGUAAUCCACAUAACCACGUUGCAGCAUUUCAACAACAUUGACAUUAGACAUCAAAGCGUUGAUCUCAGAGGGACGGAUGAGGGAGACGGUGGAACCAAGGCGAGGAAUGCAGAGUGGGCCAAAGUUCGGCUCCAGAAAUGCCCGAACGCAUAUUCAUAGCCGCCCACGACAACCCCCCCCCCCCCCACCCCCUCUUUCCCCAUCUGACGUGGAGGAUUCGGAGCAAAGACGAGCGACUCAGGAGAACAGACACAGCGGGGCGGAUGGGGGGGGGCAAGAAGUUGAGCAGGAGCCUUGUGCUGAGGCGAGUGGUUUGUGUGCGCACGUAUGCUGUGUGCUCAGUGCCAGCCGUUUGCCCAUCCCAUCAAUGAGGCCGUUGUUGUUGUGGUUGGGGGGGAGCGGCGGCCUGGCGGCUCGGCCACUCCGCUUCCGGUGACACUCGCCUGUCUCUUGGCCUUUUGUUGCCGUGCGGGUGGUGGAGCCACAUUGGAGUUACGGCGGAACAGUUGCGUCACUCUAGUGAGACGUCUCAAAGUGGUGAUGAUCAAUUAUUUAUUUCACGUGGUAAGAUUUGAACGUAGAGAGUCAGUCAUCUGCUUAAUAAAGCCAUCAGUAGAUGGUGGAGACCAAAACAGAGCUAAAAUAAGGGGUCAAAAAGCUUACAAAUGGAUUAUGUUACUUUGGAAAUUCUGCUAACGAUUUCACUGCAUCAACUUAGAAAUUAAUGCUAAAUAUUCUUCUUAAAAACUAAAAGAAGAGUGGCAAUUUUCCAAGGAAAAUUCCAGUGAAAACAUUCUGUGCAUUUGUGACUGGAUGGUGGACGGUGAGCAGCAGGACAAAUCCAACAUAAAAUAACAGCGUUUUUCACUCCCCUCCAACCGACGAGGCUAAUAUUGGCUCUGGAUUCUCCGGGGGAAGUUGGGGUGUGUUAAUCGAGAAGCUCUCGUACACAAUCCACUUCGACCCGCCAUCUGCACACCCCGGCUGCCGCAGCAAGAGGCGGAAUUAUCGGCUUCUACUUCUGCAUCUAGUUGUUCCACACUCAACAGUCCUCCUGGUAAAUACAUUUAUUGACAGAGCAUUUAAAGAAUCAUUUCUGUUGGAGAGAGUGAUGACGUGAAUAGAGUAUUUUCAUCAAGUGAGAAUACUCAUGAGUCAGAGGGACCACAUUGUUUAUUUUAUAAUAGGUAGUUUAAACGUGGCAUCAUGUUGGUUUUCCAUUUGAUUGGAACUCAAUAAGCAUUGAUAUGUUUUAGGGCUCAUUGGGUUCAAUAAUUCGUCCUUGAAUCCCACCGUUCGCUAUGUGAUCAAAGUCAUUGUACUGUAAUAAAGUACAUGUUGUUAGUGUUUGUGGUCUUCAUGUUCUUAAAUUAGCCAAUCAAGAUAGAAAUUAGACACAGAAGUAAAAAGAAACCAAAAAGAAACAAGGGCAAAAAAGCUGAACCCAGAACUAUUAUGUGCAUACAAGUGGUAAAGUGCAUAAACAAAUGAAUAUAAAAAGUCUAGAAGUAAAGAACGUCCUCUUUACUGGCCUGAACCAACUAUCUGUUGCUGGAAUCCAGGCAGUACAGAACUCCGCUGCCACUGAUACCCGGCAUGUUUCAGAAUAGAUUAACAUACAUUUUAAAUUUCUCCCCAAGCCAUUAAAAAACCUCUGCAUGCUGCACAUACUUUGAAAUCCGCUAGAGGAGAUCUUUUGUCGGGUCCAGAGGCCCGAGAGCAACUACAGGGCCGUGGAGCUCUGGAGUUCGGGUGGACAGUCUCUCUUAAAUAUUAUUUUCCAUUCGUGCUUAUGUACUACGCUGUGCCUUUAAGUUCCAAUAUCUUCUCUUCUAUCUCAUGUUUCUCCUCAUGUAAUAUGGAAAAAAUAUUCAUUGAUUGUCUGUUUGCUAAGCUGAUGAUUUAUGAAUGUGUUAUUUUGCUGCCUUUUGUGAAGCACUUACAAAUCUUAAAAAGUGCUCUAUAAAUAAAGUUCAUUAUUAUUAUUAUCAUAAUUUUCCCUAAAUGAUUUAUGUGCUUCUGCCGGGGAAAAUUUUAGAUAAAUACAGUGCAAAAAAAAAUGUCACCCCCUCGACACCCCCGUAGUCAGUCCUGGUGAUCCAUGACAGCUGGGUUGGCACAGUGUGUGUCAUUCAUCGGGCUGACGUGUGCCGGCCGGGAGGAGUGACUCCAUCGAGGGGGGGCGAGGCAGGUGUCACUUACCACAGCUCCG
Long non-coding RNA from Gasterosteus aculeatus aculeatus (three-spined stickleback), 8106 nucleotides. The record is from Ensembl. NCBI's taxonomy places the organism in Eukaryota, Metazoa, Chordata, Actinopteri, Perciformes, Gasterosteidae.